GACGAACGCUGGCGGCGUGCUUAACACAUGCAAGUCGAACGGAAAGGCCCUGCUUUUGUGGGGUGCUCGAGUGGCGAACGGGUGAGUAACACGUGAGUAACCUGCCCUUGACUUUGGGAUAACUUCAGGAAACUGGGGCUAAUACCGGAUAGGAGCUCCUGCUGCAUGGUGGGGGUUGGAAAGUUUCGGCGGUUGGGGAUGGACUCGCGGCUUAUCAGCUUGUUGGUGGGGUAGUGGCUUACCAAGGCUUUGACGGGUAGCCGGCCUGAGAGGGUGACCGGCCACAUGGGGACUGAGAUACGGCCCAGACUCCUACGGGAGGCAGCAGUGGGGAAUAUUGCACAAUGGGCGGAAGCCUGAGGCAGCAACGCCGCGUGCGGGAUGACGGCCUUCGGGUGGUAAACCGCUUUCGCCUGUGACGAAGCGUGAGUGACGGUAAUGGGUAAAGAAGCACCGGCUAACUACGU
Molecule: ribosomal RNA, 467 nt
Filed under: uncultured bacterium
Lineage: Bacteria
Description: partial 16S ribosomal RNA
Rfam family: Bacterial small subunit ribosomal RNA
Source: RNAcentral